GGCGUGCCUAAUACAUGCAAGUGGGACGCAAGGGAACACACUGUGCUUGCACACCGUGUUUUCUUGAGUCGCGAACGGGUGAGUAACGCGUAGGUAACCUGCCUAUUAGCGGGGAUAACUAUUGGAAACGAUAGCUAAUACCGCAUAAUAUUAAUUAUUGCAUGAUAAUUGAUUGAAAGAUGCAAGCGCAUCACUAGUAGAUGGACCUGCGUUGUAUUGGCUAGUUGGUAAGGUAAGAGCUUACCAAGGCGACGAUACAUAGCCGACCUGAGAGGGUGAUCGGCCACACUGGGACUGAGACACGGCCCAGACUCCUACGGGAGGCAGCAGUAGGGAAUCUUCGGCAAUGGACGAAAGUCUGACCGAGCAACGCCGCGUGAGUGAAGAAGGUUUUCGGAUCGUAAAGCUCUGUUGUAAGUCAAGAACGUGUGUGAGAGUGGAAAGUUCACACAGUGACGGUAGCUUACCAGAAAGGGACGGCUAACUAC
RNAcentral lists this ribosomal RNA (488 nucleotides) under uncultured bacterium. RNAcentral describes it as "bacterial SSU rRNA". It matches the Rfam family "Bacterial small subunit ribosomal RNA", at positions 41 to 504 of the family's 1533-position model. The record is from RNAcentral.